RNAcentral lists this ribosomal RNA (492 nucleotides) under uncultured bacterium. Its description in RNAcentral is "partial 16S ribosomal RNA". It matches the Rfam family "Bacterial small subunit ribosomal RNA", at positions 30 to 507 of the family's 1533-position model. The record is from RNAcentral.
AGUGAACGCUGGCGGUAGGCCUAACACAUGCAAGUCGAACGGCAGCACAGUAAGAGCUUGCUCUUACGGGUGGCGAGUGGCGGACGGGUGAGGAAUACAUCGGAAUCUACUUUUUCGUGGGGGAUCACGUAGGGAAACUUACGCUAAUACCGCAUACGACCUACGGGUGAAAGCAGGGGAUCUUCGGACCUUGCGCGAUUGAAUGAGCCGAUGUCGGAUUAGCUAGUUGGCGGGGUAAAGGCCCACCAAGGCGGCGAUCCGUAGCUGGUCUGAGAGGAUGAUCGGCCGCCUGGGAACUGGAACAGGGUCCAGGAGACUAAGGGAGGGAGCAGUGGGGAAUAGUGGGCAAUGGGGGGAAGGCUGAUACAGCCAGACCGAGUGGGUGAAGGAGGCCUUGGGGGUGGAAAGACCGUUUGUGGGGAAAGAAAAGCAGCCGGUUAAGACCCCGCGGGUCUGACGGUAACCAAAGAAUAAGCACCGGCUAACUUCGUG